Molecule: ribosomal RNA, 429 nt
Filed under: Gemmatimonadota bacterium
Lineage: Bacteria; Pseudomonadati; Gemmatimonadota
Description: Gemmatimonadetes bacterium partial 16S ribosomal RNA
Rfam family: Bacterial small subunit ribosomal RNA
Source: RNAcentral
UAGGGAAUCUUCGGCAAUGGACGAAAGUCUGACCGAGCAACGCCGCGUGAGUGAAGAAGGUUUUCGGAUCGUAAAACUCUGUUGUUAGAGAAGAACAAGGACGUUAGUAACUGAACGUCCCCUGACGGUAUCUAACCAGAAAGCCACGGCUAACUACGUGCCAGCAGCCGCGGUAAUACGUAGGUGGCAAGCGUUGUCCGGAUUUAUUGGGCGUAAAGCGAGCGCAGGCUGUUUCUUAAGUCUGAUGUGAAAGCCCCCGGCUCAACCGGGGAGGGUCAUUGGAAACUGGGAGACUUGAGUGCAGAAGAGGAGAGUGGAAUUCCAUGUGUAGCGGUGAAAUGCGUAGAUAUAUGGGGGAACACCAGUGGCGAAGGCGGCUCUCUGGUCUGUAACUGACGCUGAGGCUCGAAAGCGUGGGGAGCAAACAGG